RNAcentral lists this ribosomal RNA (664 nucleotides) under uncultured Bacteroidaceae bacterium. Its description in RNAcentral is "bacterial SSU rRNA". It matches the Rfam family "Bacterial small subunit ribosomal RNA", at positions 69 to 730 of the family's 1533-position model. The record is from RNAcentral. Lineage: Bacteria; Pseudomonadati; Bacteroidota; Bacteroidia; Bacteroidales; Bacteroidaceae.
AUGAAGUUUGCUUGCAACUUUGAUGGCGACCGGCGCACGGGUGAGUAACACGUAUCCUCCCUUAAAGGGGCUCGGGGAUAGCCUUUCGAAAGAAAGAUUCCUUCCCGAUGGCACGGGAGCCCCGCAUGAGGUUCCCUUUAAAGAAUUUCGGUGGAAGAUGGGGAUGCGUUCCAUUAGGCAGUUGGCGGGGUAACGGCCCACCAAACCUACGAUGGAUAGGGGUUCUGAGAGGAAGGUCCCCCACAUUGGAACUGAGACACGGUCCAAACUCCUACGGGAGGCAGCAGUGAGGAAUAUUGGUCAAUGGGCGAGAGCCUGAACCAGCCAAGUAGCGUGAAGGAUGACGGCCCUACGGGUUGUAAACUUCUUUUGUGCGGGAAUAAAGGAGCCUACGUGUAGGCUUUUGCAUGUACCGUAACGAAUAAGCAUCGGCUAACUCCGUGCCAGCAGCCGCGGUAAUACGGAGGAUGCGAGCGUUAUCCGGAUUUAUUGGGUUUAAAGGGAGCGCAGACGGGUUUUUAAGUCAGCUGUGAAAGUUUGGGGCUCAACCUUAAAAUUGCAGUUGAAACUGGAGACCUUGAGUACGGUUGAGGUAGGCGGAAUUCGUGCUGUAGCGGUGAAAUGCUUAGAUAUCACGAAGAACUCUGAUUGAAGGGCGAAUUCC